GGGCAAGACAGCAGACAGACUUAUUACAAUAAUACUGUAUAUGUGAUUCUGCACAGCCAAGCUGACCAACCGAAUGACUGACUUCCAUCAGCAUUUUUCAUGACAAGGCAUCAAGUCUCACCUGUGCUCAUCAACAUCAAGCGUAAAUGGCCUUUAAGGGUGUUCUUCCAAACGAGGGAAUGACAAACCAAGCUGUGUGGUGCUUUGUAAGCAUCAAUGUUUUAUAUUGUGAUCAGUAUUGUGGCUAAUGCGUCAUUAUCAAUACCCGAGAUGUACCCAGUGAUCUUACUGCAUGAACACUUCCGCAUUCUCUAAUUCUGUGCUUAA
Molecule: long non-coding RNA, 327 nt
Organism: Tachysurus fulvidraco (yellow catfish)
Lineage: Eukaryota; Metazoa; Chordata; Actinopteri; Siluriformes; Bagridae
Exons: 3
Source: RefSeq, a predicted model, not a curated record